This 465-nucleotide ribosomal RNA is filed under the name Vreelandella stevensii. RNAcentral's name for it is "partial 16S ribosomal RNA". It matches the Rfam family "Bacterial small subunit ribosomal RNA", at positions 338 to 795 of the family's 1533-position model. Lineage: Bacteria; Pseudomonadati; Pseudomonadota; Gammaproteobacteria; Oceanospirillales; Halomonadaceae. The record is from RNAcentral.
CCUACGGGCGGCUGCAGUGGGGAAUAUUGGACAAUGGGCGAAAGCCUGAUCCAGCCAUGCCGCGUGUGUGAAGAAGGCCUUCGGGUUGUAAAGCACUUUCAGUGGGGAAGAAAGCCUUGGGGCUAAUACCCUCGAGGAAGGACAUCACCCACAGAAGAAGCACCGGCUAACUCCGUGCCAGCAGCCGCGGUAAUACGGAGGGUGCGAGCGUUAAUCGGAAUUACUGGGCGUAAAGCGCGCGUAGGCGGUCUGAUAAGCCGGUUGUGAAAGCCCCGGGCUCAACCUGGGAACGGCAUCCGGAACUGUCAGGCUAGAGUGCAGGAGAGGAAGGUAGAAUUCCCGGUGUAGCGGUGAAAUGCGUAGAGAUCGGGAGGAAUACCAGUGGCGAAGGCGGCCUUCUGGACUUACACUGACGCUGAGGUGCGAAAGCGUGGGUAGCAAACAGGAUUAGAUACCCUGGUAGUC